CGUCUGAUGACUACAAAUGAUUUGCUUUUCUUCCUGUUGAGGGGUAGAGUCAUGUUCUGCCCUGCCUUGAAUCCCAGCUGCCUCUGUGGCUGGCUUUAACCAAUAGAAUGAGGCACAAGUGAUCCCAUGCAUCUUCUAUGACAUCUGCCUGUGGUGCUAGGAAUUCUCUUUCUGGGAACUCAAUGGCCAUGCUGAGAUAAGCCUAAACCACAUGGAGAUGGCAUGUGCAGGAGAACUGGGUUAUCCUAAUUGAUAGACCUAGCGGAGCCCUCAGUUGAGAGCCAACAUAAACAGCCAGUCUUUAUGACUGAGAGACUUCUUGAAUGUGCCCACCUCCGUGAAACCUCCAGGUGACUGCAAUUUCAGCCAAUGCCAAAGGAAGCAAAGGAACCACUUACUCAAGCAUUGUCAAUUCAUACACCCGUAUGUACGGAUCCGUAUCCGUAUUUAUACAGAUAAUCAAGUAUCUAGAAGGAAGGAUGUGAAGGCCAUCUUGGGGAAAGGCUGCAUGCAAAGCUGAGGACAGGUCAUAAAAUUUGCAUGUAAUAGAUGUAGGCUUGAGCCUACAGAUCUUCCACCAUUAAGGGUUUAUGUUUGCAUAAACUGUUAACCUGAUUGUCAAGGCUCUCAUCCGACCAAUAGGUGGAUAGCAACAUUUAAUUCACAAGUCCUGUGAGAGAUUUAAAUGAGAUAACCUGAUGCUAUCUGAGCUCUGAAUGUGUAUUGAAAAUGGAGCACUGUGAUUAAAAUAGUAGAAUUUACAUAGAGACACAAACAAUUGUCAGCUCAUUACCAUAUCAACCGGAGUCCUAUGGUGAAAAGACCAAAAAGUGCACAUCUAGAAGAGAUGGAAAUCAUGGGCAAAUAUCCACCACUGACUUUAGAUGAUUACUUUUAGAAAGGCUCAGGAAGUAGCCCAAACCACAGGACACAAGUCCAUGAUACAUUUGACUACAAGCAUGCAAAGAAUUUCUUAGAGAGAUGGCAUUUAGAAGUUAAGAAAGUGCAAUUUGUUCUCUAUGACUUGCGAUUUUUAUAAAACAGUGUUUUUAUUUGCAAAACUUAGAGUAUUGUCAUCUAGUUCUUUUGCUUGUACUUGGCCUCAAA
This 1107-nucleotide long non-coding RNA is filed under the name Felis catus (domestic cat). RNAcentral describes it as "lncRNA (ENSFCAG00000052498.1)". Lineage: Eukaryota; Metazoa; Chordata; Mammalia; Carnivora; Felidae. The record is from RNAcentral.